CGCGCCCGAACGCUGAACCUCGUCACUGGCGCGACCUCCCGGAUGGUCCGGGCGCACGGACGAGGGUGGGGGACCCACGUACGACGACGCAGCAGUCAGGCGUCUUGGGGUGAAGCCGGUACGCCGGCCGGGCACCUGACAGCCCGAACCCGACAGCUCACCUCACAGGCGUUCGUCAGGAAGGAAUC
RNAcentral lists this small RNA (188 nucleotides) under Luteipulveratus sp. RNAcentral describes it as "c-di-AMP sequence". It matches the Rfam family "c-di-AMP riboswitch aptamer (ydaO/yuaA leader)". Rfam says of the family: This family represents a conserved RNA structure found upstream of the ydaO and yuaA genes in Bacillus subtilis and related genes in other bacteria. The ydaO/yuaA element is thought to act as a genetic "off" switch for the ydaO and yuaA genes in its native state. Lineage: Bacteria; Bacillati; Actinomycetota; Actinomycetes; Micrococcales; Dermacoccaceae. The record is from RNAcentral.